This 645-nucleotide ribosomal RNA is filed under the name Salmonella enterica subsp. enterica serovar Oranienburg. RNAcentral's name for it is "partial 23S ribosomal RNA". It matches the Rfam family "Bacterial large subunit ribosomal RNA", at positions 1 to 688 of the family's 2925-position model. The record is from RNAcentral. Lineage: Bacteria; Pseudomonadati; Pseudomonadota; Gammaproteobacteria; Enterobacterales; Enterobacteriaceae. RNAcentral also lists the same sequence under 3 other names.
GGUUAAGCGACUAAGCGUACACGGUGGAUGCCCUGGCAGUCAGAGGCGAUGAAGGGCGUGCUAAUCUGCGAUAAGCGCCGGUAAGGUGAUAUGAACCGUUAUAACCGGCGAUACCCGAAUGGGGAAACCCAGUGUGACUCGUCACACUAUCAUUAACUGAAUCCAUAGGUUAAUGAGGCGAACCGGGGGAACUGAAACAUCUAAGUACCCCGAGGAAAAGAAAUCAACCGAGAUUCCCCCAGUAGCGGCGAGCGAACGGGGAGGAGCCCAGAGCCUGAAUCAGCAUGUGUGUUAGUGGAAGCGUCUGGAAAGGCGCGCGAUACAGGGUGACAGCCCCGUACACAAAAGCGCAUGUGCUGUGAGCUCGAUGAGUAGGGCGGGACACGUGGUAUCCUGUCUGAAUAUGGGGGGACCAUCCUCCAAGGCUAAAUACUCCUGACUGACCGAUAGUGAACCAGUACCGUGAGGGAAAGGCGAAAAGAACCCCGGCGAGGGGAGUGAAAAAGAACCUGAAACCGUGUACGUACAAGCAGUGGGAGCACCCUUUGGGGUGUGACUGCGUACCUUUUGUAUAAUGGGUCAGCGACUUAUAUUCUGUAGCAAGGUUAACCGAAUAGGGGAGCCGGAGGGAAACCGAGUCUUAAC